CUCACCUGUUCCCAUUCCGAACACAGAAGUUAAGCCCACCAGCGCCGAUGGUACUGCUAACGCGGGAGAGUAGGCCGCCGCCAGUU
RNAcentral lists this ribosomal RNA (86 nucleotides) under Chryseobacterium sp. CH1. Lineage: Bacteria; Pseudomonadati; Bacteroidota; Flavobacteriia; Flavobacteriales; Weeksellaceae. The record is from RNAcentral. RNAcentral also lists the same sequence under 1 other name.